CUAUGUAAUGCAAAUUGCAUGUACUCGGCAUGUUCCAUGACUUGAUGGGAAGUCAAUAUUAGCCAAUUGACCUAACGGUUUUCCGGGCAGCGCCCUUAAAAGAAUGUUUAUGAACCUGGGAAGUUCAUAUUAAUAGCCUGAUUACUUGAAACAUAGUACACUUAGUUUCACACAGUAUGGCAUAUUGUGUUGUUUCGGGGAGCAAAUCUGGAUAUAAAGUGAAUCAUAAAAAAGCAUUUCGUUCUAUGUGCCAAAAGAUACCAAUCUCCGGAAAUAAUAGUCGGUCUUAUGCCACCUUUACUCGGUUAAUUGAAUUUCCUAUACGCGUAAUUCCAAAAUUAAUCAUUUAAUUAAAAAAAAAAAUUUUUUUUAUGCAUUUUCAUGUAGAAGAAGGAAAAGAUAAUGGAAGGAAAAAAAUAAAUAUUUUUUUGGGGCAUGUCAAUUAGAGAGAAGUGCUACUCCAUGCCAAUUUUGGUGGAACAAAAUUUACGAGAAAUUUGAUGAUUCACAUAGCACAGCAGCGGACCAUCAAGUUGACAAGAUACUUAAAGUCGCAAUAAUACCGUCAUGUGAAAUGCAGUUAUCUGUUCCAGUCGUCUAAUCGUCGAAUGGAAGAGACAUUAUACAUCAGUGUGAUCACUACGAAAAUGUGAAGAAAGUUUUAAAGGCCAAAGAAAAAGAAAUUCUUCUACAUGUACUACUAGUAGCAAUCAUUUGAAAUUGAAGCGAGUGGAUGGAGCCGACGUCAUGGCUCAAUUACAAUAAUUGAAGAAAAAUAAUAAAGAAAUUCACAUAAAAAAUGAAAAAUUACAAGAGGCAAAUGAUCAACUAAAAGCAUCAUUAACUGAGCUACAUAAUGAAAUAUCAUUAAUUAAUCAUGCAGUAUAAAAUUCUCAAUAACAACAACAAUAAUACAUCAGAAGAGCAGCAAAACAUUAUAAGAGAAAGUUUUAACACUUCUAAAUGUAAUCACCAAAAUGGUGAAAGGUACUCAGAGUAUUGAAUAUAUUUAUGUAUUCUCAUGCACAUGAAAUCUUCAACUACAUACCGAUUUAUCCGAGAGAAUGAUAUAUCACCAUUACCAUGACCAAGUACAACAAGAGAGUAUGUAGAUCAUCGACAUUUUCUCAUUUUCAACAUCCAAUUGAUGAGAAUCAAAAGAUAUAUGUAUUUUCCGACACACCACAUUUGAUAAAAACAUGCAGGAAUCGUCUUUACACUAAAGAGUCGUUAAAGGCUUUCAGAUUAAUCAAUCCAAAGUAGCCUUCAUAAAUUGGGAACAUUUUAACAUGGAUCAUGAAGUUGAAAGAUUGAAGACUAUUAAUAACCGUGUCAUUCAAAAAAUAACCGAGAAUCAUUUGAUAUUAAACAAUUCCUCGAAGAUGCGAGUCCGAUCAGCACUUCAGGUACACAUUAACACAGUGACUUUUUACCAAAAUCAAAGAAUUCAUGAUGACAUCACGUAAUAAUUAAAUUUGACUAUAAUUGGUGUUGACCAUGUCUACAGCAAGAGAAUUGAGGACAUAUCAGAGCUAUUUUGUAAACGAAGAUUUCAGUGGAAUAAUUGAAUUUUGUGUAUGGAUCAACAAACUGUUCGACUGUCUCAACGAAAAUCAUCAUGAAAUUAAACCUGAUGAUAACAAAUUUUCAAUCAUUAACGAAGCUUUGAUGACUCUAAACAAUUGGGAAAGUAAUGUUAAAAAUCAGACUAUUGAUAAACAUAUCUUUCUGACUACAAACGGACGAUCCAAAAAAGACUCUUUGGAGGUAUAAUGAGAGAUAAUUGUAUUAUUACAACAUCUUAAAUAGGAGUUACCAGGACAAAUGUGCAUUACAUGACUUUUGGAGAUUUUUCGAGACUGUGCGACAAGCAGAAGGAGCAAAUGAUCAUCCCGCGACCUCAACUUUUCUGCAAAUAUACAGAAUAUUAUCACCUCAUAGUGUUUUAAGAGCUCCGAAACCAGGAAAAGCUGUCAACAAUAAGGAGUGGUAAGCAGAAGAUGCUUUAGAAGAGCACGAUUACUAUUUACCAAACUUGUCAAAUUCUGUUUUGUAUUAUUGUACAGAAGUCAUAUUGGCAAAAAUUUUAAAAUUAACCAACUGCGAAAAAUGACAUAAUGCCGUACGGAAUGCUAAACCAACAGCAUUCAUUGCGGAGUCAUAUAUCGUGAUUAAUCAAACAGCAGAUGAAUGUUUUAACCACCCAAAUGUAGAAACCGAUAAGGUAACAAAUUUUAUACAGGAGGAUAUAGUGAAUGUGUUCUGACUUGGAGGGGCCCAAG
Chelonus insularis is the source of this 2282-nucleotide long non-coding RNA. RefSeq lists it as uncharacterized. NCBI's taxonomy places the organism in Eukaryota, Metazoa, Arthropoda, Insecta, Hymenoptera, Braconidae. The transcript is spliced from 4 exons. The record is from RefSeq and is a predicted model, not a curated record.